GUGAGGAAUAUUGGUCAAUGGGCGGGAGCCUGAACCAGCCAAGUCGCGUGAAGGAAGAAGGAUCUAUGGUUCGUAAACUUCUUUUGCAGGGGAAUAAAGUGCGGGACGUGUCCUGUUUUGUAUGUACCCUGAGAAUAAGGAUCGGCUAACUCCGUGCCAGCAGCCGCGGUAAUACGGAGGAUCCGAGCGUUAUCCGGAUUUAUUGGGUUUAAAGGGUGCGUAGGUGGUUUGAUAAGUCAGCGGUGAAAGUUUGCAGCUUAACUGUAAAAAUGCCGUUGAAACUGUCGGACUUGAGUGUAAAUGAGGUAGGAGGAAUGCGUGGUGUAGCGGUGAAAUGCAUAGAUAUCACGCAGAACUCCGAUUGCGAAGGCAGCUUACUAAGCUACAACUGACACUGAAGCACGAAAGCGUGGGGAUCAAACAGGAUUAGAAACCCUAGUAGUCC
RNAcentral lists this ribosomal RNA (445 nucleotides) under uncultured bacterium. RNAcentral's name for it is "partial 16S ribosomal RNA". It matches the Rfam family "Bacterial small subunit ribosomal RNA", at positions 354 to 796 of the family's 1533-position model. The record is from RNAcentral.